This 452-nucleotide long non-coding RNA is filed under the name Rhipicephalus microplus (southern cattle tick). Its description in RNAcentral is "uncharacterized LOC119178636". Lineage: Eukaryota; Metazoa; Arthropoda; Arachnida; Ixodida; Ixodidae. The record is from RNAcentral.
CCCAAUAGCCGCUUAAAACCAGCUUGACCUGGCUGGAAAUGUAUGAAUAGACGGCGACAGAAUCGCCGUAUUGGAAAUUUUUUGGGGACGUUUACGUGGUGGGAACGAAAGGUCUAAGGUUCCUCACCAACUUGUGAGGAUCUUUACCGUGCGGUGGUUAUUUAUCCGUGGUCAUUGCUUGAGCGGGAGUUGUAUGCAUUCGCGAGAACCGCCUCUGCGCAUGGAUACGUGGUCUCGUUCUGUGAUACUGUCUAUAAGCAAUGUGGUAACGACUUGCCCGAUCAUGAACACCGUGUGUUAUGCUAUUUGUGGAUGUAUGCCGUACGUGUAUGUCUGGGUGUCUACCAACCUGGGAAAGUCGGGGAAUUGGGGCCUUGCUGGAAAACUGGGGGAACUUUGGUGAAACCUGGCUAAUUCAUAGAAACUGGCGGCAGUCUGUGCCACCAUCACAA